RNAcentral lists this ribosomal RNA (434 nucleotides) under uncultured Lachnospiraceae bacterium. RNAcentral describes it as "partial 16S ribosomal RNA". It matches the Rfam family "Bacterial small subunit ribosomal RNA", at positions 341 to 792 of the family's 1533-position model. Lineage: Bacteria; Bacillati; Bacillota; Clostridia; Lachnospirales; Lachnospiraceae. The record is from RNAcentral.
ACGGGAGGCAGCAGUGGGGAAUAUUGCACAAUGGGGGAAACCCUGAUGCAGCGACGCCGCGUGAGUGAAGAAGUAUUUCGGUAUGUAAAGCUCUAUCAGCAGGGAAGAUAAUGACGGUACCUGACUAAGAAGCCCCGGCUAACUACGUGCCAGCAGCCGCGGUAAUACGUAGGGGGCAAGCGUUAUCCGGAUUUACUGGGUGUAAAGGGAGCGUAGACGGAAGGCCAAGUCUGAUGUGAAAACCCAGGGCUCAACCCUGGGACUGCAUUGGAAACUGGUCAUCUAGAGUGCAGGAGGGGUAAGCGGAAUUCCUAGUGUAGCGGUGAAAUGCGUAGAUAUUAGGAGGAACACCAGUGGCGAAGGCGGCUUACUGGACUGUAACUGACGUUGAGGCUCGAAAGCGUGGGGAGCAAACAGGAUUAGAUACCCUGGUA